AAAGUCGUAACAAGGUUUCCGUAGGUGAACCUGCGGAAGGAUCAUUAUCACGUAUCCACGUAUAAACCAAACCGCGAACUGUCUUGCCUCUCUUGUUUCUGCUUUUUGUGUCUUUUCUGGUUCUCUAGAAAAGAAACAAAAAAAAAGGGACUUGAGUUGUAGUUUCUUUUUUAUUAUUAACCAAUUGAACCUAAAUUUUUAUUUGUAAUUCUGAAUUGUUUCUUACUCUGCUUGCAAAAGCUGGAGAAGAAAUUCGUAGAUAUACGAAACUAAGUACAACUCUUAGCAACGGAUAUCUUGGUUCUC
Molecule: unclassified non-coding RNA, 306 nt
Filed under: Basidiomycota sp.
Lineage: Eukaryota; Fungi; Basidiomycota
Description: partial contains small subunit ribosomal RNA, internal transcribed spacer 1, and 5.8S ribosomal RNA
Rfam family: Eukaryotic small subunit ribosomal RNA (bases 1-47)
Source: RNAcentral